RNAcentral lists this ribosomal RNA (381 nucleotides) under uncultured marine Chaetocerotaceae. Its description in RNAcentral is "SSU rRNA". It matches the Rfam family "Eukaryotic small subunit ribosomal RNA", at positions 587 to 972 of the family's 1831-position model. Lineage: Eukaryota; Bacillariophyta; Thalassiosirophyceae; Chaetocerotales; Chaetocerotaceae. The record is from RNAcentral.
AGCUCCAAUAGCGUAUAUUAAAGUUGCUGCAGUUAAAAAGCUCGUAGUUGCAUUUCCGAGGCAAGGGAUUAGUCCGACCUUUGGUGGGUAUUUAAUCCUCUUGCCUCGUCCUUGAGUGGUGCUUCUUGGUAUUAAGUUAUCGAGGAGAUAGCCGCUCAUCGUUUACUGUGAGAAAAUUAGAGUGUUCAAAGCAGGCUUAUGCCGUUGAAUAUAUUAGCAUGGAAUAAUAAGAUAGGACCUCGGUACUAUUUUGUUGGUUUGAGAACCAAGGUAAUGAUGAAUAGGGACAGUUGGGGGUAUUCGUAUUCAGUUGUCAGAGGUGAAAGUCUUAGAUUUACGGAAGACGAACUACUGCGAAAGCAUUUACCAAGGAUGUUUGCA